UGAAGAUAAGACGGAUUAGCGGCGGACGGGUGAGUAACACGUGAGUAACCUGCCUUUUACACAGGGAUAGCCUCGGGAAACCGGGAUUAAAACCUGAUGAAACUAUCAAACCACAUGAUUAAGAAAGUUAAAACUCCGGUGGUAAAAGAUGGACUCGCGUCCCAUUAGCUAGUUGGUGAAGGUAACGGCCCACCAAGGCAACGAUGGGUAGCCGGCCUGAGAGGGUGAACGGCCACAUUGGAACUGAGAAACGGUCCAAACUCCUACGGGAGGCAGCAGUA
This 281-nucleotide ribosomal RNA is filed under the name uncultured Peptoniphilus sp. Its description in RNAcentral is "partial 16S ribosomal RNA". It matches the Rfam family "Bacterial small subunit ribosomal RNA", at positions 77 to 355 of the family's 1533-position model. Lineage: Bacteria; Bacillati; Bacillota; Tissierellia; Tissierellales; Peptoniphilaceae. The record is from RNAcentral.